AGCUGUAAGAUCUUCUUUAUUUAUUCAUUAUAUGUUAAAACGGCUGAAGAAACCAAGCAUUAUGAAAAUUACAGUGGGACAUGUCCAAAAAGAAAAACGUGUUAUAUUUUUAAGGUUAUUAUAGGUAUAAGUAUAACUGAAUUGUUUACAAUGUCCCAAAAAAACAUGAGAAUUUAGAGUCGAAACAACAUUAGUUUUACUAUUGUGAGUCUUUUGUUUUGAACUCAAAUGUUUCAAAAUGUGAAGCUGUUUUUGCUUUUUUGAAUAACAGAAAUUCUCCCAAAAAUGUAUUCUUAUUUAUUUAAUUUAUAAAACAUUUUUGUUGCUUUUCUAGCAAAAAAUAUAUAUUAUUAUAAAACAUUACAUGAUGCAAUUAAUUAAAUACUUCACUUUUUUUUUACAAAGAGCCAAAGAUUUUGCAUCAAUCUUCCAGUGACCUGAAGUUCCUCAAACGUUUCAAAUCAGUGCCAUAUUCAAUCUCAGACACUCAUCUCUUCAGAAAGCAUGAAUUCCUGUCUUUCGUUUCUAAGCAGUCGUGGUUUCGUAACCAACCGGUAACACACACACACUUGAAUUCUCCCUCAUUACACACACCAUGCAUGAGAACUGACCUUUAGAAAUGAGAUCAUUUAACCACAAACCUCUUCACAUCCAUGCAGAAAUUCAUUAUUUUCCAUGCAUACUUUCAAAAUCCUCCCUAUGCAUUAAACAAACACUGCCUGCUCCACUUAGAGACAAAACAUCUGUGUUUUCACAGCAUUAAAAAUGCAUGCCGUGCAAAAGUUGAUGCUGCUAACGUCAAGUAUGCACUUACCAAUAAAUAAAGAGGUUUUCAACACAGGGUGGAAUUGUGAUUCACUGCCCUGGCAUCAUCAAAAAUUAUAUUUUAGAGCCACUAACAACGGUUAUCAUACGCACAAGCUGCUGUGCUGUUUAGGAGGUGGAUGUGUUUAAUAAUCAUCUUGCUUUUCAACAUAGAAUCAGCAGAAAACUGAGACAAAUGUGAACCAAACCUGCUGAUUUCAGUUUAAUUAACAUCACACUUACAGUGCUACACCUAAAAUGAUGUUUAAUAAAACUUAAUCCAACAAUGCAAGUCCAUAUAACUAUAUUUCUUCUCUCUGAGCUGAAAGCUUUGAGUAGAUAAAGCACACGCUGAGAGGGUUUACAGUUACACUGUUAUUCAAUUUCAGGUUGGCUUUUUCAUGGGUGGAGAUCUGGAAUAAUUGGAUGCAGAUGUCGGCCGCUGCGCUGUAUCCUAGUAAUAUGCAAUCAGGCAGAAACGCACGGAGUGAGAGAGUCCUUAUCUAGAAGAAGCCUCUUGUACUUAGGGCCUGAAAUCAGCUCUGUGUGAACACCGUGAGCUGUAAUGUCCCAAAAGAUACACAGACAAAGAGCAGCUCCAGAGAUUUGGGUGAAUGUGAAGGGUGGGGUCUUAAACUCCCACCGGCGGGAACCAACAGGAAGCAAGCAACAUGACAAAUCAAUAGCAUUGACUGGAAUCUGAGUCCAUGUUCAUCUCGCAGGAGAGUCAGAGGAGAAAAACAGCCAUUGCACAACACUGAAAACUGCCCGCUUACAUAACACUUAAUAUGAGUUUAGCUGCUCUACUGAGUCUGUAAAAUUUGGGCCGUAAUUGUAAGCCAGGGUAGCAAUUAGCAGGAGAAAAGCCAUCGACCGGUGCAUCGUGUAAUGAGGGACAGUUUCUGAAGAUUACAGCAAAUAAUGCACUUUAUAACUCAGAGACUGACACUAGCGCUAGUAUAAACUGGAAAGGAAUCAACCAUAAUAUCAACCUACAUAUGUUGACUGAUGUACUGGAGUGCUGUGGAUUAUUGUGAUGUUUUUAUCAGCUGUUUGGACUCUCAUUCUGACGCCACCCAUUCACUGCAGAGCAUCCACUGAUGAGCAAGUGACAAAAUUUUACAUUUAUCCAAAUCUGAAGAAGAAACAAACACAUAUGACUCAUUGGUGGCCUGAGGAUACAGAUGAGUAACUCGUAUGAGGAGUUUCCAGAUCUACAGAAGCUCUUCACACACACAACAUGAUGAAGAGCUGAUUUUAAUGAUGAUACUGGCUCAGAUGAACGUGAGUCACACAGAGAAACGUUAUUUCCACAAUGUCAAAUAAAGACACUCUGUUAGACUCUGUAUAAUGUUUUUGUUAAGUGGGACUGUUUGUGAAGGAAAAGAUUAAAUGAAGCUUCAUUUAAACUGCAUGGUUGGGAUGCCAAGAGCUCCACUCCUCUUUAUUCCCAGACAAUGAUUGGUCAGAUCCAUGAAAACACAGCGUGGAGGAUCUAUGAAUCAGGACCCGGUCCAGGACUACAGAUAGUUUCCUCUUCACUGGUGCUCUUCUGCUGGAAAACAGGAACAUGAUCUGACCUAUUAUAACUAUUAUUAGUUUGACUCAAGUCAACUUUACCUGUGAAAUCUGAAUGACUGUAUGAACUGGGUCUGGUUGUGCCCUCAUAUGCUGUAUAUUAUAUUGUUGUCAUGUUUUGUUCAGUCAUCAGCAUUAACUGUUCCAGUCUCUCAGGAUUUGUUUCAGCUGCUGUGAGUUAUUUUAAGAGACAGACAAAGAGUGACGGGAUGAUUCACAUUCUGCUACUGAACUACACACAACACACACUGGGAUCGAGAUUGGAUGAGUUUGGAUCUGACAAGACAUUGCUGUACAAGAAUAUUCUAGAAAUAAUGAUUCUGGAUAUUCUGGAAAAGUUUUAUUACUUUUUAAGAUACAAGUGAAAGCAUUUCAUAUUUCUGCUGCAUAUUCUAGAAUUAUUUCAAAGAAAGGCCAUUAAGCAAUAAACAUCAAAAAAAGUGAUAGGCGCACAAAAGUCACGAACAACACAGUCCAACAAGAGCUUCUGUGACAGUUUCUGAUUUGUUUUUUUCAUGCCUUCCUUACCUCAAAAAAAAAAUGCAACAUUUUCUCAUGUGACCUCUAGAUGGCAGCCCAUAAUAAUACAAUCAAAACAGUCCCUAAUCAGCCAUUAUUUCACACACAUAAUUUCAUGCUAAAUUUCAAUAUUUUGGUUGUCUUUUACAAUGUAAUUGUUACAUUUUCAAUUGUAUUGUACUCUAUAAACUGAUUAGAUUAUACCGAAUACAGUUUGAGUUUUAUUCCAGGACAAAUACUACAGAAAUCAUCGUAUUUUACAUCAGUUAAUUCAGCAGAUCCUGUUUAUCCAAAGCAACUUUCAAAUGAAGAAAAACCAAAAACAAGUGUUAGGGUAUAGAUACAGUAU
Carassius gibelio (silver crucian carp) is the source of this 3250-nucleotide long non-coding RNA. RefSeq lists it as uncharacterized. The record is from RefSeq and is a predicted model, not a curated record. Lineage: Eukaryota; Metazoa; Chordata; Actinopteri; Cypriniformes; Cyprinidae. The transcript has 3 exons.